GAUGAACGCUGGCGGCGUGCCUAAUACAUGCAAGUCGAGCGAACAGACGAGGUGCUUGCUCCUCUGACGUUAGCGGCGGACGGGUGAGUAACACGUGGAUAACCUACCUAUAAGACUGGGAUAACUUCGGGAAACCGAAGCUAAUACCGGAUAAUUUCUUGAACCGCAUGGUUCAAUAGUGAAAGACGGUUUUGCUGUCCCUUAUAGAUGGAUCCGCGCCGCAUUAGCUAGUUGGUAAGGUAACGGCUUACCAAGGCGACGAUGCGUAGCCGACCUGAGAGGGUGAUCGGCCACACUGGAACUGAGACACGGUCCAGACUCCUACGGGAGGCAGCAGUAGGGAAUCUUCCGCAAUGGGCGAAAGCCUGACGGAGCAACGCCGCGUGAGUGAUGAAGGUCUUCGGAUCGUAAAACUCUGUUAUUAGGGAAGAACAAAUGUGUAAGUAACUAUGCACGUCUUGACGGUACCUAAUCAGAAAGCCACGGCUAACUACGUG
This 497-nucleotide ribosomal RNA is filed under the name uncultured bacterium. RNAcentral describes it as "partial 16S ribosomal RNA". It matches the Rfam family "Bacterial small subunit ribosomal RNA", at positions 28 to 507 of the family's 1533-position model. The record is from RNAcentral.